RNAcentral lists this ribosomal RNA (470 nucleotides) under uncultured organism. Its description in RNAcentral is "partial 16S ribosomal RNA". It matches the Rfam family "Bacterial small subunit ribosomal RNA", at positions 334 to 796 of the family's 1533-position model. The record is from RNAcentral.
CACUCCUGCGGGAGGCAGCAGUGGGGAAUUUUGGACAAUGGGGGCAACCCUGAUCCAGCAAUGCCGCGUGAGUGAAGAAGGCCUUCGGGUUGUAAAGCUCUUUUGUCAGGGAAGAAACGGUGGUGGCGAAUAACUACUACUAAUGACGGUACCUGAAGAAUAAGCACCGGCUAACUACGUGCCAGCAGCCGCGGUAAUACGUAGGGUGCAAGCGUUAAUCGGAAUUACUGGGCGUAAAGCGUGCGCAGGCGGUUGUGUAAGUCAGAUGUGAAAUCCCCGGGCUCAACCUGGGAAUUGCAUUUGAGACUGCACGGCUAGAGUGUGUCAGAGGGGGGUAGAAUUCCACGUGUAGCAGUGAAAUGCGUAGAUAUGUGGAGGAAUACCGAUGGCGAAGGCAGCCCCCUGGGAUAACACUGACGCUCAUGCACGAAAGCGUGGGGAGCAAACAGGAUUAGAUACCCGUGUAGUCC